AUACGUAGGGGGCGAACGUUGUCCGGAUUUAUUGGGCGUAAAGGGUACGCAGGCGGCCAUGUAAGUCAGAUGUGAAAUCCUAGGGCUUAACCCUAGUUAGCAUUUGAAACUGUGUGGCUUGAGUUAAGGAGAGGAAAGUGGAAUUCCUAGUGUAGCGGUGAAAUGCGUAGAUAUUAGGAGGAAUACCAGUGGCGAAGGCGACUUUCUGGACUUAUACUGACGCUGAGGUACGAAAGCGUGGGGAGCAAACAGGAUUAGAUUCCCUGGUAGUCCACGCCGUAAACGAUGAGUGCUAGGUGUCGGGGGUCAAACCUCGGUGCCGCAGCUAACGCAUUAAGCACUCCGCCUGGGGAGUACGUACGCAAGUAUGAA
This 372-nucleotide ribosomal RNA is filed under the name uncultured bacterium. RNAcentral's name for it is "bacterial SSU rRNA". It matches the Rfam family "Bacterial small subunit ribosomal RNA", at positions 523 to 898 of the family's 1533-position model. The record is from RNAcentral.